Molecule: microRNA precursor, 52 nt
Organism: Pan troglodytes (chimpanzee)
Lineage: Eukaryota; Metazoa; Chordata; Mammalia; Primates; Hominidae
Rfam family: mir-1302 microRNA precursor family
Source: Rfam
AUUUUAGUAUAAGUAUGUCCCAGGCAGUGUUGAGGACAUACUUAUGCUAAAA